GCCCCGGUAGCUCAAUGGUGAGAGCGACACCGUGAUCUGGUGUAGUAGAUGUCGGUUCGAUUCCGGCCCUGGGCU
This 75-nucleotide transfer RNA is filed under the name Flavonifractor plautii. RNAcentral describes it as "tRNA-Ile". It matches the Rfam family "tRNA". Rfam says of the family: Transfer RNA (tRNA) molecules are approximately 80 nucleotides in length. Their secondary structure includes four short double-helical elements and three loops (D, anti-codon, and T loops). RNAcentral also lists the same sequence under 1 other name. Lineage: Bacteria; Bacillati; Bacillota; Clostridia; Eubacteriales; Oscillospiraceae. The record is from RNAcentral.